Molecule: RNA transcript, 1513 nt
Organism: Prunus dulcis (almond)
Lineage: Eukaryota; Viridiplantae; Streptophyta; Magnoliopsida; Rosales; Rosaceae
Exons: 3
Source: RefSeq, a predicted model, not a curated record
UUAUAUCCUCUGGAAAAAAAGAAACUCAUUUAGAUCUAGUUUUCAUAGAAUUCAAGCCAUAGCCAUUCUUUUAGUGUAGAAAACCGUUGUACAUCUAUGAUUUAUUACCACCUUCAUCCUUCAAAAUCAAGCUCAUUUUCUCACAUGGGCUCUCUCUUCUCUCUCACAUUGGUAAUUCUCUCAUUCAUAUCCAUAGCAUUAAUAAAAACUGAAGCUCAGAAGAUCAAGUCAGCUCGCCUACUCGACCUGCUCAUCCGGGACUACACCUUCAAGGCCUAUGACACACACUUCAGGACAGGAGUUCUACACACUGUAAAUUUACCAGCAAACUUCUCUGGCAUCAUAGUUGACACAGCAAGAUUCAGAUGUGGUAGUCUCCGAAGGUACGGUGCGCAGGUAAAGGAAUUUCAUCUAGACCUUGGUGUAUCUGUGCAUCCAUGUGCUGAGAGGGUCAUGAUAGUUACACAAAACUUGGGUUACAAUUGGUCUUCUAUAUAUUAUGCCAAUUAUGACUUAUCUGGCUAUCAGCUUGUUUCCCCUAUACUAGGCCUCUUAGCUUAUAAUGCCGGUACUGAUGUGAACUUCAGCAACCCUUUUGAGCUUGGAAUUGAAGCUGCAGAAAAACCCAUCAGAAUAGACUUCAGAAAUAUCACAAGGGUGAACAACGAAUAUGGUACAAGGCCAUUAUGUGCUAGUUUUGAAGGUGCCGGCAAAGUGGCUUUAGCAAAGGAGGCUUCACCUUACAUUUGUAUUGCAAAAAGGCAUGGCCAUUUUGGGUUGGUCAUUGAGAAGCCAUCACCAGUGGAGUUGAACAAGAGCAAGAGAGUGAGCCCGUGGAAAGUGGCAGUAGGUAGCUCAGUUGGAUCUGCUUUAGGUGUUUUUCUCUUGGGGCUGCUUCUGGUGGCAAUGUUUGUGAGGGUGAAGAAGAGGUCAAGGAUGGAGGAAAUGGAGAGAAGGGCUUAUGAAGAGGAAGCUUUGCAGGUAUCAAUGGUUGGACAUGUGAGAGCUCCUACCGCAUCAGGCACUCGAACAACGCCAACACUUGAGCAUGAUUUCAAUGGCACACCAUAAAUAUAUUGGCCAACAAGAACAGAGAAUCUGGUAAACAUGGGAAAGCUACACUCUCUAUGAGAUUCCGAAAUCUGGCUGAAAAAAGGUCUUCAAUCUGGACUUGUGCAGAUUAAGGACAAAAAGUAGCAAAGCUUUGGAUCUCCACUUUGAUCGGAUGCAUGCAACCUUUAGAAAAGAAUAGUUUUGAUUUCUAGUCACUUCUGAGAUAAAGGCAAUGUCAUCCCUCAUCCCUUAACACAAUGAUUCUCACCUUUACCUUUCUUUAUUGUGUCAAAGGCAAUUCCAUUGAUGCUUUAAAUUUCAAAACGCUCUUAACCCACCAUUUUCAUUGAAAUUGUCGGUGAAACAAUGCUAUAGGCCUGCAAUGAAUUUAUUACCUAUUUUAUGUGAUAGCUUUUGAAGCCCAUAUAUAGAUAUGAGUUCUACCACUUUCAAGUGAAGA